UACGGGAGGCAGCAGUGGGGAAUAUUGCACAAUGGGCGCAAGCCUGAUGCAGCCAUGCCGCGUGUAUGAAGAAGGCCUUCGGGUUGUAAAGUACUUUCAGUCGUGAGGAAGGUGUUAAGGUUAAUAACCUUAGCAAUUGACGUUAGCGACAGAAGAAGCACCGGCUAACUCCGUGCCAGCAGCCGCGGUAAUACGGAGGGUGCGAGCGUUAAUCGGAAUUACUGGGCGUAAAGGGCACGCAGGCAGUUAUUAAGUUGGAUGUGAAAUCCCCGGGCUUAACCUGGGAAUGGCAUUCAAGACUGGUUAGCUAGAGUCUUGUAGAGGGGGUAGAAUUCCAUGUGUAGCGGUGAAAUGCGUAGAGAUGUGGAGGAAUACCGGUGGCGAAGGCGGUCCCCUGGACAAAGACUGACGCUCAUGUGCGAAAGCGUGGGGAGCAAACAGGGAUUAGAUACC
Molecule: ribosomal RNA, 453 nt
Filed under: uncultured bacterium
Lineage: Bacteria
Description: bacterial SSU rRNA
Rfam family: Bacterial small subunit ribosomal RNA
Source: RNAcentral